GGUGGUGGGCACGAUGCAAUCUGUACAGAAGCUGAAAUAUAAUAAUGUACACAACGUUAUAAGCCAAAAUGACCUCAAUAAAAUAAUUUUUAAAAAAACAUAAAACAGAAACUCUGGGGAUGAGGCCCAGCUACCUGUGUUUUAACAAGCCCUCUGGGUGACUCUGAUGCACACUACAGUUUGAGACCCGCCGACCAAUGGCUGACGCUCCCCAGCUUCCCUCCGCACCAUCCCAUAUCUGUGUUCAAAGGCGAGGUGGCUAGAUCACCAGCACCCUAAUGAGAGAGCCCUCUGGAGCACGCUGGAGAUUGCUGUCCUUGGUCCUCUCCUGAUGCUAUUUUUAUUAAUGACUUGGCUGGAGGCACAGAUGGCACCCUGAUCUCAUUAACAGAUGAUGGAAAGCUGGAUAGGGUAGAGAUGUUGAACGAUGACAUUAUACCCAGACACACAGCGACGGUCCAAAUCUAUCAAGAUGAGACAUAAUAGGGUAUACUAGUUAGGAGUAGGUUCAGCUUUGAGUGACAGAACACUCAACACAGCAGUGGCUUAAUAAGAGAGAAAUUUACUUCUCGUUCACAUAAGUGAAGUGCAGAAGUGUCAGGCCGGAGUCAAUGUGGGCUCUGCUCCCUGCAAUCCCAACAGCUCCAGCUCCCCAUCCAUCCCGUUCCUCAGGUAUGGCCUCAUCCUCAAGUCAAAAAUGGUGACAUUCACGUUUCAGAUAGCAGAAUGGAGGAAGGAUGGAGAAAAAGGCCAGUUCUUGCUGUCUGUUAAGGAUUCUGGACGCUACCACAUCAUCCUUCUGUUUGCAUCCUGUUGGCCAAAACUUAGUCUCAUGGCUCCAGUUGCAAUGGAAGUUGAGGCUUGUAGUCUAUUUCUCUAGGCAGCUCAGCUAUAACUGUUACUACAUGGAAGAAAGGGAGCAUAAAUAUGAGCAUGAGUCUCUGCCAACCAAAGCACAAACAAAGUCCUUUACGUAAGGCCCACAGUUUUGGUGGAGAAGAGGAAGGUAGGAAGUAAUAGCCACGCGGGUAAGCCUCUGCUCAUGACUUACAAAAGCAGAAAGCCCACGCCAUCAUGGUUUAAGUAAAAACAGAAAGUGCGGGAUAUGAAACUGGAAUCUCCAACACAGUGCUACCUUCAGGAAUGUCUCAAAUCAUGUCAUCAAGAUUUGUCUCUUCUCCGUAUCUCAGCUCCACAGUCUUCCAUGUUGGGUUUAUCCCCUGCUUCAGGUGGUGGCAAAAUGUCUGCCUGCAGGUCCAGGCCCCUGUUCCCCGAACCUGCUGGUAGACCAGGGAGAGAUUCAAGCUCCUUCUUCCCCACCGUCACCUCCGCUUGUUUCUCAGAUCAGCUUCCUCUAGCAAAGUGGUUCUCAACCCUGGCUACUCACUGGGCUCCCCUCAGGAGCUUUUUAAAAUUCCUGAUACUCCGGCCUCUUCCUAAAUCUGAUUUUGUUGGUCAGAGUAGGGCCCUGGUGUCUUAAAAUCCUCCCCAGGUGACUCUCCUGUGCAUU
Molecule: long non-coding RNA, 1510 nt
Filed under: Equus caballus (horse)
Lineage: Eukaryota; Metazoa; Chordata; Mammalia; Perissodactyla; Equidae
Description: lncRNA (ENSECAG00000052589.1)
Source: RNAcentral